Long non-coding RNA from Strongylocentrotus purpuratus (purple sea urchin), 1671 nucleotides. RefSeq lists it as uncharacterized. NCBI's taxonomy places the organism in Eukaryota, Metazoa, Echinodermata, Echinoidea, Camarodonta, Strongylocentrotidae. The record is from RefSeq and is a predicted model, not a curated record. The transcript has 2 exons.
UAUAAUAAACACACAAAUUAUAAAUCUGUUCUUUAUUCAAUAAAUCAUGCAUAUAUGAUAAUAAAAACAAAAACGAGAUCAAACAUAAGGUCAAACAUAAGACCAAAGAAACAAUUAAGGAAUAAGAUGGUUUGCAGUGCACCUCCUUUGACCGACUCACAACUGCACCCGUGUAGAAUAUCAUUCAUGAAUUUUAAAAGUGCCUUUUUAGCAAGUGAGGUAAAAGCAACUUGUGAUGGGACUAAUCAAUUAAUGCAAAAAAUAGGGCUCGUACGUAACCCAAGUCCAACUUCGGCUCUGUGCGCGCGAUGUUACGUAAUCGUUUUUUGGGGUUUAUUUCCAGCUGUUCAUAGAUUACUUUUUUGGGUGAUUGGUCCACUUUAAGGUUAAAAGCCCAAAUCCGUCUUGGGCUCUAUGCGCGCGAUGUUACGUAAUUGUUUUUUGAGGUUUAUUUACAGCUGUUCAUAGAUUACUUUUUUUGGGUAAUUGGUCCACUUUAAGGUUAAAAGCCCAAGUCCAACUUGGGCUCUGUGCGCGAUGUUACGUAAUUGUUUUUUUAGGUUUAUUUCCAGCUGUUCAUAGAUUACUUUUUUGGGUGAUUGCACUUUAAGGUUAUAAGCCCAAGUCCGACUUGGGCUCGGAGCGCGAUGUUACGUAAUUGUUUUUUGAGGUUUAUUUCCAGCUGUUCAUAGAUUACUGUUUUGGGUGAUUGGUACAUUUCAAGGUUAUUAUAAGCCUUAAUUUUUUGGGUUUAUUUUCAGCUGUUCAUAGAUUAAUUUGUUGGAUGAUUGGUACACUUUAAGGUUAUAAGCCCAAGUCCGACUUAAUUGGGCUCGAUGCGCGCGAUGUUACGUAAUUGUUUUUUGAGGUUUAUUUCCAGCUGUUCAUAGAUACUUUUUGGGGUGAUUGGUACACUUUAAGGUUAUAAGCCCAAGUCCGACUUAAUUGGGCUCGAUGCGCGCGAUGUUACGUAAUUGUUUUUUGAGGUUUAUUUCCAGCUGUUCAUAGAUACUUUUUUGGGUGAUUGGUACACUUUAAUGUUAUAAGCCCAAGUCCGCCUUGGGCUCUGUGCGCGAUGUUACGUAAUUGUUUUUUGAGGUUUAUUUCCAGCUGUUCUUAGAUUACUGUUUUCGGUGAUUGGCACAUUUCAAGGUUAUUAAAAGCCUUAAUUUUUUAGGUUUAUUUCCAGCUGUUCAUAGAUUACUUUUUUGGGUGAUUGCCUUGGGCUCUGUGCACGAUGUUUUUGAGGUUUAUUUCCAGCUGUUCUUAGAUUACUUUUUGGGUUGAUUGGUACACUUUAAGGUUAUAAGCCCAAGUCCGACUUGGGCUCUGUGUGCGCGAUGUUACGUAAUUGUUUUUGAGGUUUAUAUUUCCAGCUGUUUAUAGAUUAUUUUUUGGGGUAAUUGGUACAAUUAAUAUAAGCCUUAAUUGGCGUAGCUACAGGGGAAAAAGGUAAGCUUCCCUCCUAAUGGGAUGGUGUUUUAAAGUUUUAAUUUUAGGAAAUGUAUGCUACUUUGUUUCACUAUUAUACCCUGCUUAGCUUUGAUCAUAUGUAAAAAAAAAAAAAAAAAGGGAUAGCAUAUAUUAUUAUUGUAUUACAAGUAUUCAUAUUGAUUGUUAUUGGGUCUGCUAUUUUUGUCUACAAAUACAUAUUUUUGAAUUACUCCAGAA